GGAAAGAAAGGAAAAUGAAACAAAAGAAUGCUACUGCAUUCUUAUACCUCCACGAUGCACGACACCUUCAUAUUCUCCAUCUUUUACCUCUCUUCAACUCCUUGUUUCAUUUAUCGACAAAGCUACAAGAUUUUCCGUCAACUAUCAUUAUACACCAACCGUAGUUCGUCCACCUUCACUAGCUCUUAGUGUUGUGGGUUUAUCGAAGGAAGAUAGUUAUUCUUGGGCUUGCGGUUUCGAGUUGUGAAUCAAAUCAAAGAGCGGUUUUGUGGUUCCUUUUAUAGGGUAAUUUCACCCUCAUUACUUCCCCUUAAUCAAGGUUUGAUGGUGACUAGCUUAUAUUGGGGUGAGAGCGUUGACUUCACCUAGAUGUAGAUUUAUUAAAGUUAAGACUUCCUCUGCAAUAGAUUAUAAUUAUGGUUUGUUAUAGGAGUGUAUUAAUUAAUUAUAUUUUCUUUUAGUUGUAAUAGUUAAUAAUUAAUUUAUGUAUUAGUAGUAGUACCUUUCGCCUUGCUGUUAUUAAAUGUUUAAUAACCGCGGCAUAACAGCUCUUGAAUUGUC
Long non-coding RNA from Beta vulgaris subsp. vulgaris (sugar beet), 561 nucleotides. RefSeq lists it as uncharacterized. The record is from RefSeq and is a predicted model, not a curated record. NCBI's taxonomy places the organism in Eukaryota, Viridiplantae, Streptophyta, Magnoliopsida, Caryophyllales, Amaranthaceae. The transcript is spliced from 2 exons.